CAGAAAUAUUCAUCACAAUCUUGCAAGAGUGCUUCAGUACACCUACUGCUGCCUUAAAAAUAUUCACUGUUUAACAGAGGAAAGAAAGUCAUGCAUGUUCUUCAUAAUCCAUCAUCAAUUGAUGCUUGUUUAAAGAGACUUGCUGAGUUUCCCACAUCAGCAUUUUACCUCCUGGAAUCGCAGCCAAUUUGUUGAUUUAAGUCACACACUGAGUGGAGAUUGAUGGCUCUGGAACUGCAGGACUCCUUAUCGAUUGAUCACACAGCCUGUUGAUAUGUGCUCUACCGAAUCGUUCAUCAUUGUAAAGUGCGUCCA
Sinocyclocheilus grahami is the source of this 315-nucleotide long non-coding RNA. RefSeq lists it as uncharacterized. The transcript is spliced from 3 exons. NCBI's taxonomy places the organism in Eukaryota, Metazoa, Chordata, Actinopteri, Cypriniformes, Cyprinidae. The record is from RefSeq and is a predicted model, not a curated record.